CAAGUAGGUCGGAUGAUCGCUGAUAUUUCCUUGAGAAAUAUGGGAGGAAAGUCCGAGCACCAAUGGAUACUUUGCUGGCUAACGGCCAGGACGCGAAAGCGUACGGAUAGUGCAACAGAAAACAAACCGCCAUCUUCGGAUGGUAAGGGCGAAACUGUGGGGUAAGAGCCCACACCUGUGCAGGCGACUGUCACUUGAGGUAAACCCCAAAGGGUGCAAGGUCAAAUAGGGAAACACGUAAAAGGUGAUUCAUCAUUUUUUACAAAAGCCAUCCAUGCUUGUUUCCGGGUAGACUGCUUGAGUGUCACAGUAAUGUGAUGCCUAGAGAAAUGAUCAUCAUUUGUUGUUUAUCAACAAAUACAGAACUCGGCUUAUAGACCCACUUGUUUU
RNAcentral lists this RNase P RNA (390 nucleotides) under Bdellovibrionales bacterium. RNAcentral's name for it is "RNase P RNA component class A". It matches the Rfam family "Bacterial RNase P class A". Rfam says of the family: Ribonuclease P (RNase P) is a ubiquitous endoribonuclease, found in archaea, bacteria and eukarya as well as chloroplasts and mitochondria. Its best characterised activity is the generation of mature 5'-ends of tRNAs by cleaving the 5'-leader elements of precursor-tRNAs. The record is from RNAcentral. Lineage: Bacteria; Pseudomonadati; Bdellovibrionota; Bdellovibrionia; Bdellovibrionales.